Molecule: ribosomal RNA, 305 nt
Filed under: uncultured bacterium
Lineage: Bacteria
Description: partial 16S ribosomal RNA
Rfam family: Bacterial small subunit ribosomal RNA
Source: RNAcentral
ACAGCAGUAGCCGCGGGAAUACGUAGGGUGCAAGCGUUAAUCGGAAUUACUGGGCGUAAAGCGUGCGCAGGCGGUUAUAUAAGACAGAUGUGAAAUCCCCGGGCUUAACCUGGGAACUGCAUUUGUGACUGUAUAGCUAGAGUACGGCAGAGGGGGAUGGAAUUCCGCGUGUAGCAGUGAAAUGCGUAGAUAUGCGGAGGAACACCGAUGGCGAAGGCAAUCCCCUGGGCCUGUACUGACGCUCAUGCACGAAAGCGUGGGGAGCAAACAGGAUUAGAUACCCCGGUAGUCCCUGUCUCUUAUAC